This 253-nucleotide ribosomal RNA is filed under the name uncultured bacterium. Its description in RNAcentral is "partial 16S ribosomal RNA". It matches the Rfam family "Bacterial small subunit ribosomal RNA", at positions 524 to 776 of the family's 1533-position model. The record is from RNAcentral.
UACGAAGGGGGCUAGCGUUGUUCGGAUUUACUGGGCGUAAAGCGCACGUAGGCGGAUCGUUAAGUCAGGGGUGAAAUCCUGGGGUUCAACCCCAGAACUGCCCUUGAUACUGGCGAUCUCGAGUCCGGAAGAGGUGAGUGGAACUCCUAGUGUAGAGGUGGAAUUCGUAGAUAUUAGGAAGAACACCAGUGGCGAAGGCGGCUCACUGGUCCGGUACUGACGCUGAGGUGCGAAAGCGUGGGGAGCAAACAGG